This 1094-nucleotide long non-coding RNA is filed under the name Bos mutus (wild yak). RNAcentral describes it as "lncRNA (ENSBMUG00000014131.1)". Lineage: Eukaryota; Metazoa; Chordata; Mammalia; Artiodactyla; Bovidae. The record is from RNAcentral.
CUCAGGGAGGAGGGGCCUGUCCAGGGACCUAGAGUGUCAGGCACACGCCCUCUCCGCCCAAGCCCCUCAGAACUCUGUCAGCCCAUCUUGCCUUCUUUCUGUCUUGGCCCUGCUCUAGUUCUAUUUCUGUCACACACACACACAAACCCCCGCCCCAGCCGGCUUCCUGGGCUCUUCGAUGGCUCCACCCUCCCACCCCUCCCUCCUCUGCCCUUAAGUCCCUGACUCUCAGGGGAUGCUGAGUCUGGACUGCUCUGCAGUGGACUGCUAGCUGGGGCUCUGCCGCAGGCUCUCAGUGGCAGAGCCUUGGAGCACCAUGGCUUCCGCUAAGGACAUCGACGAUUUCAUCAAUUCCCUCAAAGCCAAAUUGUUUCAAUUCGUGGAAUUGUUUUGUACAAACCUUCAAAAGAAGUCUGAAGAAGAGGUCUGCUCAGAUCUUAUUUUAAUGGAGAGCAUAUGCAGUGCAGAUAUGGCUGACGCCGUGGAUGCUCAAGUUAACAACUCGGAAUCCUGUCCAUUGCUUCGUGAAACACUGCAGGAGUUGCGUCGCAGAGUCUGUGAGCCCUCUGGCUCCUACAGUCCCCCAGGCCAGAACCAGCCCUUUGACUCCUCCACUUCAAGGAAUUGGUAUGACUGGAUACUUGAGCUAUUUAAAGAGCUCCUGCAGCGACUGCAGCAGAAGUUUCAGAAAGCCCUGGAGUGGCUUCAUCAGAUAGCGGCUGCCUGCCUACAGGGCUUGCGCAUAGCGGCUGAGGCCGUCUGGAGAGUGUUGAAUGAUUUUUGCUCCUCUCUGGAGCAGCUCUUCAGGAGCCUUAUCCAGGUCUAGAAGCCCCAAGGGGUCCCCAGGGAGCUUGGCCUCAUCUAGACGCCUCAAUUUCCCCUUCUCACAGGGCAUCUUCUGAUGCACCCUUUACCCUCCUGCUCACCCUUGACCCAUCCUCAUAGCCUGCCUCACCCCCUCCCCUUCAGGGAGGGCACCACCCAGCCCAUCUAACUCUCCCUGCCUGAAUUUUCCUGCACCAGGUCUGACCUGCCUGUCACUGUAGUGCUGAUGUCCUAAUAAAAGUCAGUUGACCCAAAUGGAGUGUCUGUGU